UACGUAGGGUGCAAGCGUUGUCCGGAAUUAUUGGGCGUAAAGAGCUCGUAGGCGGUCUGUCACGUCGGCUGUGAAAACCCGAGGCUCAACCUCGGGCCUGCAGUCGAUACGGGCAAACUAGAGUACUGCAGGGGAGACUGGAAUUCCUGGUGUAGCGGUGAAAUGCGCAGAUAUCAGGAGGAACACCGGUGGCGAAGGCGGGUCUCUGGGCAGUAACUGACGCUGAGGAGCGAAAGCUAGGGGAGCGAACGGG
RNAcentral lists this ribosomal RNA (253 nucleotides) under uncultured bacterium. RNAcentral describes it as "partial 16S ribosomal RNA". It matches the Rfam family "Bacterial small subunit ribosomal RNA", at positions 524 to 776 of the family's 1533-position model. The record is from RNAcentral.